RNAcentral lists this ribosomal RNA (496 nucleotides) under uncultured bacterium. RNAcentral's name for it is "partial 16S ribosomal RNA". It matches the Rfam family "Bacterial small subunit ribosomal RNA", at positions 29 to 507 of the family's 1533-position model. The record is from RNAcentral.
AAUGAACGCUGGCGGCGUGUCUUAAGCAUGCAAGUCGAACGGCAAGAGAGGAGCUUGCUUCCCUCCUAGAGUGGCGGACUGGUGAGGAACACGUGGGUAAUCCACCCCUAAGAUGGGGAUAGCUGCUAGAAAUAGCAGGUAAUAUCGCAUACACUCUGUAUAUCACCAGAGGUGUUGAGGAAAGGAAGCUACGGCUUCGCCUGAGGAUGAGCUCGCGUCCCAUUAGCUAGUUGGUAAGGUAAAGGCCCACCAAGGCAACGAUGGGUAUCCGGCCUGAGAGGGUGAACGGACACAUUGGGACUGAGAUACGGCCCAAACUCCUACGGGAGGCAGCAGCAGGGAAUAUUCCGCAAUGGGCGGAAGUCUGACGGAGCGACGCCGCGUGGAUGAAGAAGGCUGAAGAGUUGUAAAAUCCUUUUGUUGAUGAAGAAUAAGGGUGAGAGGGAAUACUCAUCUGAUGACGGUAAUCGACAAAUAAGCCCCGGCUAAUUACGUG